Rhagoletis zephyria (snowberry fruit fly) is the source of this 317-nucleotide long non-coding RNA. RefSeq lists it as uncharacterized. NCBI's taxonomy places the organism in Eukaryota, Metazoa, Arthropoda, Insecta, Diptera, Tephritidae. The record is from RefSeq and is a predicted model, not a curated record.
UCACAUUUCUCAGAAAUUUGACAACAAAGCAAAACACAGAUAUGUUGAGGCAACGAAGAAGGCCCAGUUUGAAAAUGGAGUUAUUAGUAAUGAAGUAGCAGGCAUAUUUGGAAAAUUAUGCCGAUAAGCAGGAUGGAAUUUGUGAAAGUAAGUGCCUGGUUGCAGCAUAUCUAUGUAUUAACAAGAUGUGCUCCAAACAUUUGGCGGACUUUUUUUCGCCUUCUCAACGUGCUAAGUUACGAGUUAAGAUGACUACCACCACGGCCGGUAAGAAACCCGAAGCAAAGGGCAAACAACCUUCCAGGAAGCUGCCUGCU